Mytilus trossulus (common blue mussel) is the source of this 526-nucleotide long non-coding RNA. RefSeq lists it as uncharacterized. Lineage: Eukaryota; Metazoa; Mollusca; Bivalvia; Mytilida; Mytilidae. The transcript is spliced from 3 exons. The record is from RefSeq and is a predicted model, not a curated record.
GUGGAUUUUCUGCCAUUUACACUGGAUGCAUUGAUUAUAUUAUAUGUACUAAUUCUAAAUAUCUCUUGCAGAUGAUUUAUUGAAGUAGGUGAUUCGUUUGCAAUCUACUUGUGAUUAGGUCUUAUUUUAUUGGUCAUUGGUGGUCUUGUGAUAUUAUAUAGAGGGAAUUCAAAUUAAAUGGCUGGUCAAUUUUGGUCUUUGUUUACAAAAGUUUAAAUAGUUUAAUUAUUUAGUAUCCAGACUUUGUAGUUACUUUUCAUAGAAGGAUUGAAUCCUUCAGUGAUCUUGGAUACAUUUAUUUUCAGUCAGGAACCACAAAUAUAGCAUAUUUUGAUAAUGAUAUUAUGUAUUGACCAUAGAUCCAUGAUAUAUUGAUCUGUAUAAGGACACUAGGAUAGAAGUUAAAUAGUGUAGCUGUUGAUGUUAUAUAUUGUACAAACUCAGUUCCACAAAUUGGGUUAGUGUAUGUAAUUGUAAGAUGAAUGCAUGUGAUGUACAAUUGAUGAAUAAAGAACCCUAUGACUCA